AGGGAAUCUUGCGCAAUGGGCGAAAGCCUGACGCAGCCAUUCCGCGUGAAUGAUGAAGGUCUUAGGAUUGUAAAAUUCUUUCACCGGGGAAGAUAAUGACGGUACCCGGAGAAGAAGCCCCGGCUAACUUCGUGCCAGCAGCCGCGGUAAUACGAAGGGGGCUAGCGUUGCUCGGAAUUACUGGGCGUAAAGGGCGCGUAGGCGGAUAGUUUAGUCAGAGGUGAAAGCCCAGGGCUCAACCUUGGAAUUGCCUUUGAUACUGGCUAUCUUGAGUUCGGGAGAGGUGAGUGGAAUGCCGAGUGUAGAGGUGAAAUUCGUAGAUAUUCGGCGGAACACCAGUGGCGAAGGCGACUCACUGGCCCGAUACUGACGCUGAGGCGCGAAAGCGUGGGGAGCAAAC
Molecule: ribosomal RNA, 400 nt
Filed under: uncultured bacterium
Lineage: Bacteria
Description: bacterial SSU rRNA
Rfam family: Bacterial small subunit ribosomal RNA
Source: RNAcentral